This 450-nucleotide ribosomal RNA is filed under the name uncultured bacterium. Its description in RNAcentral is "bacterial SSU rRNA". It matches the Rfam family "Bacterial small subunit ribosomal RNA", at positions 355 to 825 of the family's 1533-position model. The record is from RNAcentral.
UCAAGAAACUUCCACAAUGGGCGAAAGCCUGAUGGAGCGACGUCGCGUGAUGGACGAAGUGCUUCGGCACGUAAACAUCUUUUAUGUGGGAUGAAAUUAUUGACAGUACCACAUGAAUAAGGGGCUCCUAACUCUGUGCCAGCAGGAGCGGUAAUACAGAGGCCCCAAGCAUUAUCCGGAAUCACUGGGCGUAAAGGGUGUCGAGGCGGUCGUAUUAGUCGUUUGUAAAAUCCGUGGGCUCAACCUACGGCGCGCAAGCGAAACGGUACGACUUGAGGUUUGGAGAGGUGCGUGGAACUCACGGUGUAGGGGUGAAAUCCGUUGAUAUCGUGGGGAACACCAAAGGCGAAGGCAGCGCACUGGCCAAAAUCUGACGCUCACACACGAAAGCUAGGGUAGCGAAGAGGAUUAGAUACCCUGGUAGUCCCUGAGCGGGCUGGCAAGGCGCAU